Molecule: small RNA, 28 nt
Filed under: Bombyx mori (domestic silkworm)
Lineage: Eukaryota; Metazoa; Arthropoda; Insecta; Lepidoptera; Bombycidae
Description: ovarian small RNA-7265
Source: RNAcentral
UCCCAGGGCGGGGAUCCGGCCAGGACGC